UACGGAGGGUGCAAGCGUUAUUCGGAAUUACUGGGCGUAAAGCGCGUGUAGGCGGGAAGGUAAGUCUGAUGUGAAAGCCCCGGGCGUCAACCUGGGAACGUAGCAUUUGUUGACUGCAAGGCUAGAGUACGGCAGAGGGGGAGUGAAUUCCGCGUGUAGCAGUGAAAUGCGUAGAUAUGCGGAGGAACACCAAUGGCGAAGGCAAU
This 206-nucleotide ribosomal RNA is filed under the name uncultured bacterium. RNAcentral describes it as "partial 16S ribosomal RNA". It matches the Rfam family "Bacterial small subunit ribosomal RNA", at positions 524 to 725 of the family's 1533-position model. The record is from RNAcentral.